This 385-nucleotide long non-coding RNA is filed under the name Carica papaya (papaya). Its description in RNAcentral is "long non-coding RNA (CPAP_LNC015484)". The record is from RNAcentral. Lineage: Eukaryota; Viridiplantae; Streptophyta; Magnoliopsida; Brassicales; Caricaceae.
GGGGACACUUCUCCAUUUUGGCUAUAAAACUAACGAGAACCGUGAGAUGAGAGAACAAGAGAGAAAGAAAAAAAAAAAGAAAAGGAUCUAGAGAGAAAAAGGAUUGAUGUUGAGAAGAGACAGGAAAAGGGUUGUGUGAGAUAAGAGAGAGUCACAUCGAAGAGAGCUUUGUUCCAGUACAUGGCAUAUUUGACUAGAUCUGGUACGUGCAUCAAACAGCAAACCUGCACGACUUGAAAAAAUAAAAAAAUAUCAGAAGACCAUAGAAAGGGAAUGCGAGGUGGUGCAACAAGAGAAGAAGACGAAUGACAGCGGCUAGUCGCAUGAUUUCAUAAAUCCAUAGCUCAGUUUGACACAAUUUCAUUAUACCUGUGCUGGAUCUGAG